Molecule: non-coding RNA, 59 nt
Organism: Devosia sp.
Lineage: Bacteria; Pseudomonadati; Pseudomonadota; Alphaproteobacteria; Hyphomicrobiales; Devosiaceae
Source: Rfam
GGGCAGUGCCGGGCCCCUCUGGUCAUAGCCCCUUGCUAUGGCGAUGUCGGAACUGCUCC